ACUCUCCUUGCUGAGGUUAUGGACUUUGUACACUUAAGAGCAGGUAUGUCAAACUCGUUUCAGUUUAAGGCCAGAAACUGCUCCGUGGCCGCGCAUACAGCUGACAGAAGAAGGUAAGGCUGAUGCAGGACAGCUGGCUCACGGCGCAGCCGUUUGGCAGCGUGUCGCGGGUUUGACAUAUCUAACCUAGACAAAUAACACGGACAGUUCAAUAUAUUUACAUCUGGAUUUAAAUACACGUAUUCUGCAACAUACGGGUGGAGAUGCAAACACGUUUGGUGAUGUAAAUAGAUGUUACGGGGAAAUUUUAAGUUAAAGAACUUCAUCACCCAGAAUUCCCUAUUCUUGGUUGACGGACAUGCGCAGACUACGUGCGCACAGCCGCGCACGUAGUCUGCGCAUGUUCCGGUUUUGUGUUGAACAGGCAAAGUAUCACCGCUCCGUAUUUUAAACUGCUAACUACACACCUAUACUUCAGGAACUAUUACUACUAUGUGGAUGUAAGCAAAGUGUUCUCAUUCCCUCUUGGAUGUGUGCAGCCAGUGAGGUACGUUUUGUUUAAGGGCUUGUUAUAUCUGCUCGACGGCACGGACAGCUAACUGGGAUAGCGAGUGGAGCUAGCGGCUGCCGGAUGGAGCAGCCAGUCAGCCAGCUUGCUAACUACACACCGGUGCUUACGUCCACAUGUACUCAACGAAGUGGAAACGCCUUUGACGAUGCCACGUGCAAAGUCAUGCCACCAUCAAUGGGAAUGGCACAUUGGACACGUGGCUUUCAACUCCAGCGAGGUGGCGGCACGGAUCUCUGCAUGUCUGACUGACAUCUCCCAGUGGAUGUCCGCCCAUCACCUGAAGAUCAACCCCGACAAGACUGAACUACUUCUCUUCCCUGGAAAAAACUCGCCCACUCAGGACCUGACUGUUAACUUUGGCGAACACCGUUAACAUCAGGAGAAUACGACCCCUUCUCACUCAGAAGGCGGCGCAGGUACAGAUUCAGGCUCUUGUCAUCUCUCGCCUCGACUACUGUAACUCUCUGCUGGCGGGUCUCCCUGCUACCGCCAUACGACCACUGCAGCUCAUCCAGAAUGCAGCAGCUCGACUGGUCUUCAACCUUCUGAAAUACUCCCACACCACACCGCUUCUCCGUUCUCUUCAUUGGUUACUAGUGGCUCCCCGCAUCCAGUUCAAAGCAUUGGUACUGACGUACCACGCUGUGAAUGGAUCGGGACCAGUCUACAUCCGGGACAUGGUUAAACCCUACAUCCCAACCCACACACUCCGAUCUGCAUCUGCCACGCUGCUUGUUCCUCCCUCACUGAGAGAAAAGCACUCGACGAGAUCGCGACUCUUUGCUGUCCUGGCUCCCAGAUGGUGGAACGAGCUCUCUGAUGACAUCAGGACUGCAGAGAGCCUCUCCAUCUUCCGUCGAAAACUCAAGACACACCUUUUUAGACUCUACCUUGACUAAAACACUAGCAAACCGUAGCACUAACAAAUGGUAGCACUUAAAUUGUACUUAUAAUGCCACUUAUCUUUAACAUGUUUUGAAACUGCUUAGUUAAUGAAAAAUGUACUUUCUUGUUACUUGUUCUUCUGAGUUUGUAUCUCUAUGUGGAAAUGCACUUAUUGUACGUCGCUUUGGAUAAAAGCGUCAGCUAAAUGACAUGUAAUGUAAAAGCCUUCUUCCUGUGUUCUUACAACAGCAUUCCAUUACAUAUCGAUGUAAUAAUUUGGCCUUCUUUUUUUCUUCCAGCACACGGCACAGGUUGGCGUCACAAUCAUGGCAAAGUUGACUGGACCACAGCGGAAAAUUAUCCUUC
Molecule: long non-coding RNA, 1822 nt
Organism: Pungitius pungitius (ninespine stickleback)
Lineage: Eukaryota; Metazoa; Chordata; Actinopteri; Perciformes; Gasterosteidae
Exons: 3
Source: RefSeq, a predicted model, not a curated record